GAUGGAUUGGAUACAAUCCAUUAAAAAUAAAAAAUGUUUUAUGGAUGGAUUGGAUGGAUUUUAUA
Molecule: microRNA precursor, 65 nt
Organism: Medicago truncatula (barrel medic)
Lineage: Eukaryota; Viridiplantae; Streptophyta; Magnoliopsida; Fabales; Fabaceae
Rfam family: MIR5291 microRNA precursor family
Source: Rfam